GAUGAACGCUGGCGGCGUGCCUCAAACAUGCAAGUCGAGCGGGGCUAUGUAAUAUCGCAAGGUAGAACAUAGCCUAGCGGCGAACGGGUGAGUAACACGUGGGUAACCUGCCUGGAAGACAGGGAUAACGAUUCGAAAGGGUCGCUAAUACCUGAUAAUAUCCUUUCAUCGCAUGGUGAUAGGAAGAAAGGGGAAACCCGCUUUCAGAUGGGCCCGCGUCCCAUCAGCUAGUUGGUAAGGUAAAGGCUUACCAAGGCGACGACGGGUAGCCGGUCUGAGAGGAUGUACGGCCACACUGGGACUGAGAUACGGCCCAGACUCCUACGGGAGGCAGCAGUUGGGAAUCUUAGGCAAUGGACGAAAGUCUGACCUAGCGACGCCGCGUGAGGGAAGAAGGCCUUCGGGUUGUAAACCUCUGUCAUGGGGGAAGAAGUAAGUGACGGUACCCAAGAGGAAGCCCCUGCUAACUACGUG
This 474-nucleotide ribosomal RNA is filed under the name uncultured bacterium. RNAcentral describes it as "bacterial SSU rRNA". It matches the Rfam family "Bacterial small subunit ribosomal RNA", at positions 28 to 507 of the family's 1533-position model. The record is from RNAcentral.